CUCCAUUCCCGUCUCUCACAUUCAGAGAUCCAAAACCCUAGCAGCCGCCCCAAAUCCCCAAACCUUCACCGGCCGGCGGCGCCACCCCAAAAACUCUCCAUCUUCUAAGCGGACAAUCCUCACGCUUCCCUCAUUUCACAUCUCCCUUCAAUUAUAUUAGAGAUCCCACCAAAAUCGAUGAGUUUCAGAUCUAAAGCGCUUAGAAGAACCCUAGGUCUCGCCUUGUGUUUCUUUUUCUGGUUCAGCAAAGUCGAGUGAACCUAAACUAUCAUUAAUCAUUUGUCUUUUAUUAAGGACAAUCGAUUAAUGACAGUCUAAGGUUCAUUUUCUUCUACAAAAAUCGCUAUUCGAGUUUAUACAGGUUUUUUUCCUGAAGACAGGUUUGGGGUAAUUUCCUUUAUGUUGAUUAGUUUCCUUUUGAUCUUCUCUUUUUUUGGUUUGGGGUAAUUUCCUUUAUGUUGAUUAGUUUCCUUUUGAUCUUCUCUUUUUUUUCUUUUCGGUUUCUUUCUUCAAAAGUUUUGAUUCUUGUUUGAUUGCAUGAUGUUUCUAACUGUAAGUUCAUUAGUUAGUUUAUAUGCCUAAUUGUUAAUGACAAUCGGUGUCAUAGAGUUUGAGUUUAAUUUGGUUUCAACUCGUGAGGUUUUCUUCUUUCUUCUCUUUUAGUUUAUGCCGGUCGAUCAAUAGUUAGGUUUCAUUUUUUGCUUGUUAAGUGAUUCUGGAACUGAAAUAUUAAGGCUAGUCAAGUGUAGUUCAUCGUUUGCAUUAAAUUUUCUGAGUUCAUGUUUGUGUGAGAAAGGUCUUAGGUUUAACUCAAGGCGUAGUGGUAUUUGUUGGUUCAUUCAAGCAUGUUUUAGAAUCAUAAACUUUCUAGAAUUUCUGAAAAUUCCAUUUUGGGGUAGUGUAGCAGACUAGUCCUUUGUGGAUUAAUUUGAUUCAACAGUUGUUUUGAAGUUCCUUUGUUUUCAAUCCAUUUGAAGAUAUUAGCAUGUUUGUUUGUUGUUUGUGAUUAUUCAAAACUUUUAGGGUAUUAUUUGAAUAACUAAGAACUUUUGGGGUAAUUUGAGGAUUUUUUUAAUUUGGGGAAUCUUUUAAUAACUGAUUGAGAAGCUUCCUAAGUGGACAACUGCCCGAAUUGUUAGGAAAAACAGGCUGAAAAAUUAAAAUAUCUAAAAGAAAUGACAUUUGUACAAAAGUCAGUUUUAAAAGAUGCCUUGUGAGGGUAUUUUGGGAAAAUCUCAUUGCCUUGCCUUGGAAGGCACACAACAGACCUUUUCCUUAUAAUAAGGCAUUUCCCUUAUUCAACACACACGAUACACACCCUAAAAACCCCUAAAAACUUCUCUGCAAUCUAGUUUGGAGAAUCCCUGAACUUUGCCCAUUUUCUUUCUUUUACUAGAGUUUUUGGUUUGAAGAUUCUCUAUUAUGGGAUUCCUGGGUCUUUCUUGGUCUACAAAAGAGGAAACAUGUUUUGAAUUAGAAGCAGUUGGUUGUCUAUUACUGUUGCUUUCACCUUAACUUCAAGCUUAUUUUCCCUGUUAUUCUUGCUGUAAUUAGGUACUAUUUCUGACUAGAGUGGUGCAAAAUUUUUGUGCUUAUCUAAUGAAGAUUGCUUGAGUUUACUGAUGUUCGAAUGUGUAUACAAUUUUCUAGUGGUUUAACUACUCAUUCUUUUGUAAUGAUGUACAUAGAUUGAUUGUGUUGGGUAUUUUUAUAUGCUAAUAGGUUAGAGUAUUCUGAUUCAUGCUUGAAUAUAUUUCAAAGUGCUAUAGUGUAAUUUAAUUGAACUAAUUGUCCGAAAUUACAAUUUGGAUUCUAAGUCCUGGGGAUAUGUUUCUGUCAUGAGCUUCACUGGAUUUGGUGAGUAUCACUGAAGAGAAUGAUGUGUUUGUCAUUGUUGAAUUUGUUUCAAGUAUAGAUACAUGCGGGACUUUUGUAUAGCGUGUAUCUAUUUGGCAAAAGCCUAUUGUUCACUUUUUGGCAUGUUUUAAAUAGCGUUGACUUUUCUUAAAAAUGAUUAAAAGCGGUAAAGAAAUUAGAGUCAACAAUAGGCUAGAACAUGUAUUUAAAUUGGAUAACAUACCAAUAAUAACAGUCGAGCGAUUGUGCUAAAAUCACGGAACCCCAGAAUGCCUAACACCUUUUAUCAGGUUAACAUAAUUCCUUACCCGGAUUUCUGUGUUCGCAGACUAUAAAACAGAGUCAAUCUUUCCUUAAUUCAAGAUUUCAACCGGUGACUUGGGAUACCAUAAAUUAUCCCAAGUGGCGACUCGGAACUCUAAAAAUAAUCACAUUUCGAUUGUUACUUUAAUUGGAAAAAACUCCCUUAUACUUCAUUUGGGUGUGUAAAAAGGAGGUGUGAUAGCUCUGGCGAUUCUACUGGGGAAAAGAACCCAGAAUCUCUAGUUUUAGGGUUCCAGAAUUCGAGCUUAGAAUAAUUGUUAUAUUUGGCUUUAAUUAUUAUCUUGUUCUAUCUACAUGUUUUGGCCUAAUAUGCAAAGUAUUGCUUUUUUACUGCUUUGGUAUUGGUGAACUAUAUAUAAAUUGUUAUGAGUACCUCCUCUCUCUGAGUCUUCUAAAUCAUUUGAGAAGGGUGAACUUUCGUGUAGCUUCUUGUUAGAGUCAUAUCCCAAUGUUAGAACAAGUUUCGGACAAGUUGCAAAGCCGGUGAAGCUUAUGUAUUCCCGGUAUGCUGCUCCCCCGGCUCGAGCUGUCCGCUCGUGUAAGCCAGGUCUAGAACAAUAUGCCAGGUUUUAAACCUAGUAUAGCAAAGCCUCAUUCUGGAUCCCUAGUAGGAACGCUUGUUUGUAUCAUGUGCAUUUGACUUAGGGGACUCAACACAGGGGUUGGGUCCAUCUAGGCUAGGUGUACCUAAAAUCAAAAGACCAUCCUUAUGCAUUUUUGCUUGCUACUUGCGCAUUUAUUUGAUUCGGACUGCAUGUUAACCGGCUUCUAGAAAAAAGGAAAAUUGAGAAAAAUCUAGUUGAGAUUAGAGAGAGGAAAUUACCCACCUGUGAAAAAACAUGGUGUCCAAAAUAUCUCGAAACCCUGCUGAAAACAUUAGAAAAAUAAAAGGCUAUUUCAAAAGUUGGUGUUUUUUGUUACGUCAAAAUUGGCCGAACUACGCAAGUUUGAUUCUCACUUGAUGUAGAAUACGUAGGCAACCCUCAUCGGGUCCAACUACUUUUGCGAAAAUAACCCAAAAAAUUGAAUUGUCGUUGUUUUUAAAUUAGGUGGUGCCGUUCUUGUCCAAAAUAGCCAAAAUGUCCCAAAAGGCGCGGGAAGGCUUUUUUUGCAAGAAUAGCCACCUAGGGUCCUUUUUCAAAAAUUUUGUUGAUUAACGAAAACAUCCCUAUAAUUUUUAUUAUUAUUAUCUUAAGGUGCUAAAGGGAUGUAUUCACAAAAUGUAUUCACAAGAAUAUUUUGUGAAAUUGGUGUUUUUUAGUCAAAGUAAAUCACAGUCUUUUAAUCAAUCACCUUAAAUAAAUGUGCAGGAUGAGCACAAUUCAAAAUGAACCCUUCACAGUCCGCGAGGAAAUCCUGUUAAAGCUACAUAUGUGGUGGCAUGAUUUUGGGGAGGUCAACAGAAAAUUGUGAUAAAAGCUUUGUGUAGUCUGGUUGGGCUUUUGAAGAUUAAGCCAAGGAAGGAUAUAAUUGAGGCCCCGAUACCCUUCUAGAACCCAAGACAUAAUGUUGUUGAUACCCAAUCUUUCCCUGUAUAUUUUUUAUAUGCAAACAUUUUCUAAAUAAUGCUUGUCCAAGUAUAUAUAUAAGCAUGUCCAAGUAUUUUAUUAUUUUUUCUAAUUUUUUCAAAAAGAUUUU
This 3819-nucleotide long non-coding RNA is filed under the name Nicotiana benthamiana. Its description in RNAcentral is "long non-coding RNA (NBEN_LNC031436)". Lineage: Eukaryota; Viridiplantae; Streptophyta; Magnoliopsida; Solanales; Solanaceae. The record is from RNAcentral.